UUAACAUUUGAAAUGUGUAUUUAUAAACACACAAGUGGAACACAGAAGGAACCAUUAUUUUUUUGUUUUUACAGAGACAUCAUUUUGAGGCGAUUAUUGGGCUCUCAGUAAGAACAGGGAGAAGGUCCACUCUGUCUAUUAUGAUCCCUCUGCAUAUUCUAGAGGGCGCCAUCUUGAACAAGGUCAUGGGACGUCAUAGAGGACACUUCAUGAUACUCAACAUUUAGACCACUGUAAGGACAGUAUAGGAUAUUACAUUGGGGCAUAUUGAAAUCUAACUCCAGAGGGCACACCAUCAUCAUUCACUAAAGGUAAGGUAAGGUAAGUUUAUUUAUAAAGCACUUUUUUAUAUGCACAGAGUGCAACCCAAAGUGCUCUUUCUUUGAAGGGUGGCCAAAAGGGCACUCUAGAGGGUGGUGCACUCUGUGACGACUUUGAAUGCAGCAUCGUAUUUUACCUUUCCGGUCAGUUGUUUUUUCUGGUAUUUGUUAAAGGCCUAAUCUACAAAUGAAAUUAGCAAAACACAUAAGAUAAAAGGUCAUCAUAACAUCAUACAACAUGGUGGUUUUCAUAUUAGGCCAGAGAGUGCAACGGUUAGUCUAGAUAAAACAUGAAAUGCAGCCAGCAAGCAGAGGUGGAAGAGUUCAGCUGGUCACAUAUUUGCUCCAAUCAAUCAGUAAUUCAGCUGAUUUUUAUUAGCACAACUCAGCUAAUUAGUGAUAUCACCUGUGUUAAGUGCUCAGGUAAACUGGAGUUUUCCACCUCUGUCAGCAAGUCACUCACCCCUGAAUCACAACUGGUGAUGUCAAUGCAGCCUGUGAGGCUUCAGGACUUGUCUGUUAGUCAUAUGUCCAACUAUAGAUCUUCAAGCCUUGUGAUGUUAUUCAGAAGGCUGGACGAGAAUGGCAGAGAACCUUUUCACAUGUCCGAUUUGUUUGGAUCUACUGAAGGAUCCUGUGACUAUUCUCUGUGGACACAAUUAUUUUAUGGGCUGCAUUAAGGACUGCUGGGACCAGGAAGAUCAGAAGGGAGUUUACAGCUGCCCCUAGUGCAGACAGACCUCCUCUCCUAAGACCUGUUUUAAAUUAAAAAAAAAAAUACCAUUGUUGCUGAGCUUGUGGAGCAGAUAAGAAAGAAGACUCAUAAUCCAUCUGUUGCUCAAAGUUUUGCUGGACCUGGAGAUGUGGAGUGUGAUGUCUGCAGUGGGAGAAAAUGUAAAGCUGUGAAGUCUUGUUUGGAUUGUCUGGUGUCUUACUGUGAAACCCACUUCAAAGCUGUAGCCACAGGCCAGCUACAGGAGAGACUCUGCUCUCGUCACGAGAAGGCUUUUGAAAUAUUUUGCCGCACGGAUCAGAGUUGUAUCUGCUAUUUGUGCACAAUAGAUGAACAUAAAGGCCAUAAGUAGUCACAGCUGCUGCAGAAAGGACUGACAAACAAACUCUGUGGAGACAGACACAGAAGAGAUUCCAGCAGAGAAUCCAGGAGAAGGAGAAAGAGCUGCUGGAGGUGAGUACGGCUGUGGAGACUCAAGAUGCAUGCCAUGUCACAUUGGAUCUGAACACAGCACACAGAGAGCUCCAUCUGUCUGAGGAGAACAGGAAGGUGGAAAGGGAAGAGGAGACCUACUUGUAUCCUCAUCAUCCAGAGCGAUUUGUCUGGUGCUCUCAGGUGCUGUGUAGAGAGGCUGUGUCUGGACGCUGCUAUUGGGAGGUGGAGUGGAAGGUGGGUUGAGUUGGUAGUUUUGUACAAAAGCAUCUGCAGGACAGGAGGGGUUGCGAGCAGGUUUGGGUGUAAUGGUCAGUCCUGGAGGCUGGACAUCUCCAGGACCUGCUCAUUUUUCAGACACAGUAAUGAAGUGACCAAACUCCCUCUAGUGGUCAGCACCAGAAUAGGAGUGUAUGUGGAUCACCAGGCAGGAACUCUGGCCUUCUACAGCAUCUCUAACACAAUGAAUACUGCACACAAUACAGACCACAUUCACUCACACCCUCUACCCUGGGUUUUGUAUUGGUAAUGUGUCAUCUGUGAAACUGCUGUGACUCAGAUAUAGUUAGAUAAUGUUAGCAAGACACACACACACACACACACCCCAUUCUGGACCCCAGCAGAUAUCACAGCAGCUCAACACACCAGUCACUGUGGGGGAAAUGGCUUGUUGGGCCCAGUCUGGUGUCACCUCAGUCCCUUUCCCUGUAUCCUUUAGCACUUGCUCUCUUCAUAAUCCUCCAUCUCCUUCCUCUGACUUUCAGGGCUUUGGUCCCAAUUUGAUUGUACAGACUGUAUAUCUGAUGUAAGGUGAUACUAUGAGGUCAUCAUGUAGCCUAUUUAACUUUGAUCAACUGUAAGACAUGGAUUGUUUUCAGACAUGAGGAAGCCUACAUGACUGGCCCCAGUUUUACAAGAGUUGUUGCAAAUGUCAUGAUCCUAACAUGAUUCAUGUUACUUUUUGCCUUUUCUAAAAAUUAAAGAUGUAUAUGAUCCUCACUGUUGAAGUUCUUAUUAAAUAUACCAGCAAA
This is a long non-coding RNA of Alosa sapidissima (American shad), 2516 nucleotides long. RefSeq lists it as uncharacterized. The transcript has 5 exons. The record is from RefSeq and is a predicted model, not a curated record. NCBI's taxonomy places the organism in Eukaryota, Metazoa, Chordata, Actinopteri, Clupeiformes, Clupeidae.